UACGUAGGGGGCAAGCGUUGUCCGGAUUUAUUGGGCGUAAAGAGCGUGUAGGCGGUUUGGUAGGUCCGUUGUGAAAACUCGAGGCUCAACCUCGAGACGCCGAUGGAAACCAUCAGACUAGAGUCCGGAAGAGGAGAGUGGAAUUCCUGGUGUAGCGGUGAAAUGCGCAGAUAUCAGGAAGAACACCAGCGGCGAAGGCGGCACUCUGGGCCGGUACUGACGCUGAGGAGCGAAAGCGUGGGGAGCAAACAGG
RNAcentral lists this ribosomal RNA (253 nucleotides) under uncultured bacterium. RNAcentral describes it as "partial 16S ribosomal RNA". It matches the Rfam family "Bacterial small subunit ribosomal RNA", at positions 524 to 776 of the family's 1533-position model. The record is from RNAcentral.